AAACUGCGAUAAGUAGUGUGAAUUGCAUUUAGUGAAUCAUCGAAUCUUUGAACGCACCUUGCACUCACUGGUAUUCCGGUGAGUACGCCUGUUUCAGUAUCAUUGAAAACACACAAUCAAAACAUUUUCUUUGGUUUGAUUGGCUUUGGGUCUAUCAAAAAGUUUGGCUUGUUUCUUACAAGCCAAGCGGCCUGAAAUAUAUUGUCUGGCUAAUUGCAUCGUUGAUGAUCGCUAUUAGACUUUGGCUUUUUUAAAUGAACUGGAGGUUGAUUAACCAGUUUUAGCUUUAGUCAAAUGGUCAUUGUAAAAAAAAUCUCGAUCUUGGCUAGGUGUUUAUAGCCGAAAAUUUUUUUUUUGGCUAUAACCGAAACCAAUAUAAUCACAUUUAGUUAUCGAUCUGAAAUCAGGUGGGACUACCCGCUGAACUUAAGC
RNAcentral lists this unclassified non-coding RNA (432 nucleotides) under plant metagenome. RNAcentral describes it as "partial contains 5.8S ribosomal RNA, internal transcribed spacer 2, and large subunit ribosomal RNA". The stretch from base 1 to 102 matches the Rfam family "5.8S ribosomal RNA", at positions 50 to 154 of the family's 154-position model. The record is from RNAcentral.